GACGAACGCUGGCGGCGUGCUUAACACAUGCAAGUCGAACGGAAAGGCCCUGCUUUUGUGGGGUGCUCGAGUGGCGAACGGGUGAGUAACACGUGAGUAACCUGCCCUUGACUUUGGGAUAACUUCAGGAAACUGGGGCUAAUACCGGGUAGGAGAUCCUGCUGCACGGUGGGGGUUGGAAAGUUUCGGCGGUUGUGGAUGGACUAGCGGCUUAUCAGCUUGUUUGGGGGGUAGUGGCUGACAAAGGCUUUGACGGGUAGCCGGCCUGAGAGGGGGACCGGGGACAAUGGGACUGCGGGACGGCCCAGAAGCGUACGGGAGGCAGUGGGCGAGAGUAUGGCAGAACGGGCGGAAGCCUGAGGCAGAAACGCUGCGUGCGUGAUGACGGCUUUCGGGUUGUAAACCGCUUUCGACGGUGACGAAGAGUGAGUGACGGUAAUGGGUAAAGAAGCAACGGCUAACUACGUG
This 468-nucleotide ribosomal RNA is filed under the name uncultured bacterium. RNAcentral describes it as "partial 16S ribosomal RNA". It matches the Rfam family "Bacterial small subunit ribosomal RNA", at positions 28 to 507 of the family's 1533-position model. The record is from RNAcentral.